RNAcentral lists this ribosomal RNA (498 nucleotides) under uncultured Glomus. RNAcentral describes it as "SSU rRNA". It matches the Rfam family "Eukaryotic small subunit ribosomal RNA", at positions 591 to 1092 of the family's 1831-position model. Lineage: Eukaryota; Fungi; Glomeromycota; Glomeromycetes; Glomerales; Glomeraceae. The record is from RNAcentral.
CCAAUAGCGUAUAUUAAAGUUGCUGCAGUUAAAAAGCUCGUAGUUGAAUUUCGGGACCAUCAUGUCGGUCGUGCCUCGGUACGUACUGGCAUUGUUGGUUUCUACCUUCUGACGAACCAUGAUGUCAUUAAUUUGGUGUUAUGGGGAGUUAGGACUGUUACUUUGAAAAAAUUAGAGUGUUUAAAGCAGGCUUUAGCUUGAAUACAUUAGCAUGGAAUAAUGAAAUAGGACGUUCGAACCUAUUUUGUUGGUUUCUAGGAUCAACGUAAUGAUUAAUAGGGAUAGUUGGGGCAUUAGUAUUCAAUUGUCAGAGGUGAAAUUCUUGGAUUUAUUGAAGACUAACUACUGCGAAAGCAUUUGCCAAGGAUGUUUUCAUUAAUCAAGAACGAAAGUUAGGGGAUCGAAGACGAUCAGAUACCGUCGUAGUCUUAACCAUAAACUAUGCCGACUAGGGAUCGGAUGAUGUUAAUUUUUUAAUGACUCAUUCGGCGCCUUACG